CCUACGGGGGACAGCAGUGAGGAAUAUUGGUCAAUGGACGCAAGUCUGAACCAGCCAUGCCGCGUGCAGGAAGACGGCUCUAUGAGUUGUAAACUGCUUUUGUACGAGGGUAAACGCAGAUACGCGUAUCUGUCUGAAAGUAUCGUACGAAUAAGGAUCGGCUAACUCCGUGCCAGCAGCCGCGGUAAUACGGAGGAUUCAAGCGUUAUCCGGAUUUAUUGGGUUUAAAGGGUGCGUAGGCGGUCGGAUAAGUUAGAGGUGAAAUCCCGAGGCUCAACUUCGGAAUUGCCUCUGAUACUGUUCGGCGAGAGAGUAGUUGCGGUAGGCGGAAUGUAUGGUGUAGCGGUGAAAUGCUUAGAGAUCAUACAGAACACCGAUUGCGAAGGCAGCUUACCAAGCUACUUCUGACGUUGAGGCACGAAAGCGUGGGGAGCAAACAGGAUUAGAUACCCCAGUAGUC
RNAcentral lists this ribosomal RNA (460 nucleotides) under uncultured bacterium. RNAcentral's name for it is "partial 16S ribosomal RNA". It matches the Rfam family "Bacterial small subunit ribosomal RNA", at positions 338 to 795 of the family's 1533-position model. The record is from RNAcentral.